UACGUAGGGGCAAGCGUUGUCCGGAUUUAUUGGGCGUAAAGAGCGUGUAGGCGGCCUUACAGGUCAGCUGUGAAAACUCGAGGCUCAACCUCGAGACGUCGGUUGAAACCGUAAGGCUAGAGUCCGGAAGAGGAGAGUGGAAUUCCCGGUGUAGCGGUGAAAUGCGCAGAUAUCGGGAAGAACACCCGUGGCGAAGGCGGCUCUCUGGGACGGUACUGACGCUGAGACGCGAAAGCGUGGGGAGCGAACAGG
Molecule: ribosomal RNA, 252 nt
Filed under: uncultured bacterium
Lineage: Bacteria
Description: partial 16S ribosomal RNA
Rfam family: Bacterial small subunit ribosomal RNA
Source: RNAcentral